Molecule: long non-coding RNA, 1463 nt
Organism: Cercocebus atys (sooty mangabey)
Lineage: Eukaryota; Metazoa; Chordata; Mammalia; Primates; Cercopithecidae
Exons: 3
Source: RefSeq, a predicted model, not a curated record
UAGCCUGAGCAGCAGAGCAAGACUCUGUCUCAAAAUAAUAAAUAAAUAAAUAAAUAUCUCAUUGUGUUUCAAACAAAAUUUCUUCUGCAUAUCCACUGCAUCAACUUGCAUAUUAACUAUAACCAUUUUGUUUAUAUCCAAUCCUGAGAAAUCUUUGAGGACUAAUUUCACUCUUUUCUGCCAUUUUGGUAAACAUACCAAAUGCCAUCAAACAAAAUGCACAAAAUUCCUGAGAAAUACAUUUUAUCCUUGAGGAGUAGACUUGCCGUGUUAGAGGAACUCAUGGCUACCAAGCUUCUAGUUUAAUAAACAUGACUAGAAUACUCUAUCUUAAUAUGAGUAGCUAGUACUCACAAGGCAUCUAGAAAGUUAAUACUUAUGGUCUGAAAAUAGCCACAUUUUUUAGCUGGCCACAAAUUACAAUUGCAGAAUAUUUAUGGCCAUACAAGACAUCUUCCACCAAGCCUGAAAAAUGUAUAAAUGUCCUAGGACUGCAGCAUUUUUUCUUAAAGAUAAUAUUAGUGAGCUAGCUUAGGUCAACGGGUUAAUGGUCAUUGUUAAAACCAAUAGCCCCGACUUCAGUAAGUACAUCUGCACCUUCCAAGUUUAAUUGUAACUCUUUCUCUUUAUAGUUACUUAUAAGUGGAGACACUAACAAAAGACAAUGCAUUCCUGCUUUUGUUUCCUGAGGAUGUCCAACUCUGUAAUGGAGUAAUUUCUGAUAAACUUGCUUCCUUCGAUGUGCUCUCUGACUCACCUCAAAUUUUUUCCUGCACAAAAUCUAAGAAUCCCACUUUGUGGUCUGUAUCAGGACCCUUUUUUCCAGGAACAUCUUUCAGCAACACCAUGAAGGGACACCAAGACAAGACCCCCACUCCAAGGAAAACAAGCCACACAGAAUCAAUCAGCUGGCAAGUGGGUCAUCUUUUAGAGCCGUGAAGCCAUUCAGGGGUAAAUCUUUUCAAGACAGUAAAACAGGUGUCUCAGCACUGAGAGCUCUGUGCCUGACAUGACCCAAACAGCCAGCAAUUUUCUCCUUCUCCAGUUAAACCUGUUCAAAAUGAGGAACCUAUCCAGCAGGUGUAUCCCAACACCUAUCCUCAGCUUGAAGAAUCCAAUAUGACCUUCACUCUCCUUGGAGACCGUGGUCCUCUGGAAAGGUGAAAGGGCUGAUCCUACUCUAAAGAAGACUCUAGCUAAAUCAGAGGCCUGACUAUCUCUAACACCCAUAGCUUACUGCAGGUUUGAACUGCUCCAAAGUAAAGCUUAUAAUGAAGUCCUGUUGAGUUAACAUAUGGAAGGCCUUUCCUAACCACAGAUCUCCUAAUAGAGGAAAGGACUCAUCAAUUACAAAAAUAUGUCAUCAAUCUAGGACAGGUGCAAGGCACUCUGUGAGUAUGGAAACAAGAGUUUUCCCCUCCCACAUGGGAGGAAAAUUCAGUUUCAGGUCAGCUAGGGAUUUA